RNAcentral lists this ribosomal RNA (696 nucleotides) under uncultured Candidatus Saccharibacteria bacterium. RNAcentral's name for it is "bacterial SSU rRNA". It matches the Rfam family "Bacterial small subunit ribosomal RNA", at positions 571 to 1278 of the family's 1533-position model. The record is from RNAcentral. Lineage: Bacteria; Candidatus Saccharimonadota.
GUAGGUGGCUUGUAAAGUGAAUAGUGAAACCUGGUGGCUCAACCAUACAGACUAUUAUUCAAACUCACAAGCUCGAGAGUAGCAGAGGUAACNUGGAAUUUCUUGUGUAGGAGUGAAAUCCGUAGAUAUAAGAAGGAACACCAAUGGCGUAGGCAGGUUACUGGGCUAUUUCUGACACUGAGGCACGAAAGCGUGGGGAGCGAACCGGAUUAGAUACCCGGGUAGUCCACGCCGUAAACGAUGGAUACUAGCUGUUGGAGGUAUCGACCCCUUCAGUAGCGAAGCUAACGCGUUAAGUAUCCCGCCUGUGGAGUACGGUCGCAAGACUAAAACAUAAAGGAAUUGACGGGGACCCGCACAAGCGGUGGAUCGUGUUCUUUAAUUCGAUGAUAAACGAAGAACCUUACCAGGGUUUGACAUCCUUGGAAUUUCUGUGAAAGCAGAGAGUGCUUUAUUGAGCCAAGUGACAGGUGAUGCAUGGCCGUCGUCAGCUCGUGUCGUGAGAUGUUUGGUUAAGUCCAUCAACGAGCGCAACCCUUGUGAAUAGUUGUAUUUUUCUAUUCAGACUGCCCCGGUAACGGGGAGGAAGGAGGGGNAUGAUGUCAGGUCAGUAUUUCCCUUACACCCUGGGCUAGAAACACGAUACAAUGGUUAGUACAAUGCGCAGCGAAGCCGCGAGGCGGAGCAAAUCGCAUC